UCCGGUGGCUAUGACGAAGAGGUUCCACCUGUUCCCAUACCGAACACAGAAGUUAAGCUCUUCAGUGCCGAUGGUACUUGACUGGCAACGGUCCGGGAGAGUAGGUCGCCGCCGGAU
RNAcentral lists this ribosomal RNA (117 nucleotides) under Clostridiales bacterium. The record is from RNAcentral. Lineage: Bacteria; Bacillati; Bacillota; Clostridia; Eubacteriales. RNAcentral also lists the same sequence under 1 other name.